GCAGUUCAACAUGAUGGACUUUAAGAUGAGACUGCUGCUUUUAACAAUGUGGUGGGCAGGUACUCAUGCCCAGACUUUAACAGAAUCUGAAUCAGUGGUUAAAAGGCCUGGAGAAUCCCACACAUUGACCUGUACAGCCUCUGGAUUGACAAUAAGCAGCAACUAUAUGGCAUGGAUCAGGCAGGCUCCUGGAAAAGGACUGGAGUGGAUUGCCUGGCAUGAUAGUGGCAGUGGUAGCAGGAGAUUCUACUCACAGUCAGUCACAGGCCGCUUCACUAUCUCCAGAGACGACAGCAGGCAGCUGCUGCAGCUGCAGAUGAACAGCCUGAAAACUGAAGAUUCUGCUGUUUAUUACUGUGCUCGAGAUCCACAGUGA
Molecule: non-coding RNA, 376 nt
Organism: Archocentrus centrarchus (flier cichlid)
Lineage: Eukaryota; Metazoa; Chordata; Actinopteri; Cichliformes; Cichlidae
Source: the annotation of a RefSeq genome assembly